GGUGGUUCUUGGGUGACACAACCCAGAAUUGGGCUCCCUCCUCUCUGCUUCCGGGUGCAUCACCUGAGAACCGCC
This is a non-coding RNA of Myotis lucifugus (little brown bat), 75 nucleotides long. Lineage: Eukaryota; Metazoa; Chordata; Mammalia; Chiroptera; Vespertilionidae. The record is from Rfam.